UGCAACACCUUGGUCAUGAACUAGAACAAGAUGAACCCAGAGGUUACAGGCAUUCUCACGUCGGAUCGCCCAUGGCUAACUCUCCUCCUGGUACUUUCACUGGAUCGGUUUCAAGUCUUGUUAUCCUCACUUCAUCUAAUUUUCUUCAAAACACCUGUUCACAACUAAGAAAUUUAUCAUCUCUUGGCAGGGGCAUGGGCUCAAUAUGGUAGUCCAACCGACAACAAUUUGCUGCAUGCAUUCAGCAAUUCACCUACUGGAAACGGGAUGAGCCCCAUCGGGAUGUCCCCUUCAAUGUUG
This 300-nucleotide long non-coding RNA is filed under the name Hordeum vulgare. RNAcentral describes it as "long non-coding RNA (HVUL_LNC017188)". The record is from RNAcentral. Lineage: Eukaryota; Viridiplantae; Streptophyta; Magnoliopsida; Poales; Poaceae.